Molecule: small nucleolar RNA, 133 nt
Organism: Sorex araneus (European shrew)
Lineage: Eukaryota; Metazoa; Chordata; Mammalia; Eulipotyphla; Soricidae
Source: Ensembl
AGCCUCCUUGUGCAUACCAUAGGCUCUGUUCUCUGUACCAACUAUAUAGACAGAGAAGUUACAGUAUAUCCGGCCCAUAUACAUCUCAGCCAGAUCCUUUGCCUAGUUUGUAUUGGGAAUGGGGGAAACACAC